RNAcentral lists this ribosomal RNA (1282 nucleotides) under Streptococcus sp. RR3. RNAcentral's name for it is "bacterial SSU rRNA". It matches the Rfam family "Bacterial small subunit ribosomal RNA", at positions 111 to 1379 of the family's 1533-position model. The record is from RNAcentral. Lineage: Bacteria; Bacillati; Bacillota; Bacilli; Lactobacillales; Streptococcaceae.
UAACGCGUAGGUAACCUGCCUGGUAGCGGGGGAUAACCUAUUGGAAACGAUCAGCUAAUACCGCAUCAAAUUGAUUAUUGCAUGAUAUAUUAAUUGAAAGAUGCAAUUGCAUCACUACCAGAUGGACCUGCGUUGUAUUAGCUAGUUGGUGAGGUAACGGCUCACCAAGGCGACGAUACAUAGCCGACCUGAGAGGGUGAUCGGCCACACUGGGACUGAGACACGGCCCAGACUCCUACGGGAGGCAGCAGUAGGGAAUCUUCGGCAAUGGGGGGAACCUGACCGAGCAACGCCGCGUGAGUGAAGAAGGUUUUCGGAUCGUAAAGCUCUGUUGUAAGAGAAGAACGGGUGUGAGAGUGGAAAGUUCACACUGUGACGGUAUCUUACCAGAAAGGGACGGCUAACUACGUGCCAGCAGCCGCGGUAAUACGUAGGUCCCGAGCGUUGUCCGGAUUUAUAGGGCGUAAAGCGAGCGCAGGCGGUUAGAUAAGUCUGAAGUUAAAGGCUGUGGCUUAACCAUAGUAUGCUUUGGAAACUGUUUAACUUGAGUGCAGAAGGGGAGAGUGGAAUUCCAUGUGUAGCGGUGAAAUGCGUAGAUAUAUGGAGGACACCGGUGGCGAAAGCGGCUCUCUGGUCUGUAACUGACGCUGAAGCUCGAAAGCGUGGGGGAGCAAACAGGAUUAGAUACCCUGGUAGUCCACGCCGUAAACGAUGAGUGCUAGGUGUUAGGGCCUUCCCGGGGCUUAGUGCCGCACUAACGCAUUAAGCACUCCGCCUGGGGAGUACGACCGCAAGGUUGAAACUCAAAGGAAUUGACGGGGGCCCGCACAAGCGGUGGAGCAUGUGGUUUAAUUCGAAGCAACGCGAAGAACCUUACCAGGUCUUGACAUCCCUCUGACCGCUCUAGAGAUAGAGUUUUCUUCGGGACAGAGGUGACAGGUGGUGCAUGGUUGUCGUCAGCUCGUGUCGUGAGAUGUUGGGUUAAGUCCCGCAACGAGCGCAACCCCUAUUGUUAGUUGCCAUCAUUCAGUUGGACACUCUAGCGAGACUGCCGGUAAUAAACCGGAGGAAGGUGGGGAUGACGUCAAAUCAUCAUGCCCCUUAUGACCUGGGCUACACACGUGCUACAAUGGCUGGUACAACGAGUCGCAAGCCGGUGACGGCAAGCUAAUCUCUGAAAGCCAGUCUCAGUUCGGAUUGUAGGCUGCAACUCGCCUACAUGAAGUCGGAAUCGCUAGUAGAUCGCGGAUCAGCACUGCCGUCGGUGAAUACGUUCCCGGGC